AAUUGUUGCUAGGGGUGCCAAAUAAUUGGCUGAGAGGAAAAUCCAACCCUAUGAACCUGAUAUGGUUAAUACCAGCGUAGGAAAGCAAGUAAAUUUAGCG
This is a regulatory RNA element of 100 nucleotides. It matches the Rfam family "TPP riboswitch aptamer (THI element)". Rfam says of the family: Vitamin B(1) in its active form thiamin pyrophosphate (TPP) is an essential coenzyme that is synthesised by coupling of pyrimidine and thiazole moieties in bacteria. The previously detected thiamin-regulatory element, thi box was extended, resulting in a new, highly conserved RNA secondary structure, the THI element, which is widely distributed in eubacteria and also occurs in some archaea. The record is from Rfam.